This 209-nucleotide long non-coding RNA is filed under the name Trifolium pratense (red clover). Its description in RNAcentral is "long non-coding RNA (TPRA_LNC012480)". The record is from RNAcentral. Lineage: Eukaryota; Viridiplantae; Streptophyta; Magnoliopsida; Fabales; Fabaceae.
UUAUAUUUAUAUUGAAAUGAGUAUAAUUUUUGUAAAUGUAAAUAAUUUUUUGAAUAAUUUAAUUAGUAUACAUUGACGUUUUAAAAAAGAAUACACAAAAUUGGUAAAAAAAAAAAUGGCACACAAACAAUUAAUCAUGUCUUAGUAUUAUUGAUAUUAUGAAAAGUUCACAUCAAAACUCAUGUAUUCUCUUUACGAGGAGUGCUAGC